Vitis riparia (riverbank grape) is the source of this 3294-nucleotide long non-coding RNA. RefSeq lists it as uncharacterized. NCBI's taxonomy places the organism in Eukaryota, Viridiplantae, Streptophyta, Magnoliopsida, Vitales, Vitaceae. The record is from RefSeq and is a predicted model, not a curated record. The transcript has 5 exons.
AGACCCAAGACUUUGCACAGAAGGCUGACUCCACUGCUGCAGGUACUGGAAAUUCGGAUGUGGAGAAGCCUGUGGAACCCAAUGAAGAAGUUAUAAAUUCUGCAACAAACCCCAUAGUUAUGGAAAUGGGAAAAAGCACUCCAUUUGGUUUUCUUGCACAGCGGUGGCCUCCCUGGCUGCAGUCUAAGCAGAGGCGGUGGAACAGAUAUACGACAGUCGAGGAGUUGAACAGAAUGAAAGAUAUAGUCUGCCUUAUCUUAUCGUAUCCUCCUAUGAAUUCGGUGAACAAAGAGAGACACAAGAACUGGGUUCGGGCUGUUUUGAAGUUGCAUCGCAAAACGAGGGACCCGAGAAAAUUUCCAUUCCAAUUUGAAAUCAAUGCACUGCUGGAUCACAAGUUCGAUGAUAUUGAAGCUUAUGUUCCACCACGGAUCAUUGAGGAGAUGUGUAAGAAAACUUUGGCAGUAACACAGCCUGAUGAAAAAGUACGUAAUUUGGCUGUUAAUUUUGCUACUCGCCAAAUUCUAGAAGAAAUAGAAAAUCCUGAGGUCCGGAGGAUCAGGAUUUCAGGAAGAGAUGAUAUAAGAGUAACAGCAGCAGUGAAAGGUCUACCACAGAUAUAGAAAAUGUUCAAUGUUAUUGUUCAGGUUGAUGUCUCAUCAUAUUCAAAUAUCAUUGGCAUUGAAAGGAAUAUCGCAGCACAGUUAGGUUUAUCAGACGGAUUGGAGUUCAAUAAAUUAUUGGAAGACACAAACUUCUUAAUCUUUCUGCAUGGUAUUCAUGAAAGGAUCAAUCUGUAUGGAGUGGGGAGCAAGUGGUGGAACUCAAAGAACAUUCAAAAGAUAGUUUGUACGACUAGAUCCCAGACAGUUUACGAAAGAAUGGAAAUGGAUCUAGAGAUUAGGUUGGAGGAUCAUCUGUUAUCUUGGAAAUUAUUUUCUAUGAAUGUGGGCAAAAAUGUGCAUUCUUCAGGUUUCCGACGCAGAGCCACAGAUGUGGUUGAAAAGUGUUCUGGUCACUUACUUGCUGUUGUUCUAAUGGCAAGAGCUUUGAAAAUGGUGUCUGAUGUCAUCGUCUGGGAACGUGCAUCUUGUAUACUAGGCUUGCCACAUCGAGCUCAGAUGAAAGACAGAGCUCUGUGUAAUACAUUAGCAUUCAUUCUGGGGCGUCUAGGUUCAGUAGAUGAAUGUGUAAAAUACAGUGCAUUUCACACACAGAAGGAAGGGACCAGCAUAAUUGAUUUGAUACUGGAGUGGAUCAGACAUGCCUUGAUCAAAACAGUUGAAGAAGGAGAAAAGACUGUUCAAGAUCUUAUCAAUGGCUUCGUGUUUGAGAGUUCCCAGAAUAGAUAUUCUGUCCGAAUGCGAGAUGAAAUCCAUGAGGUGUUAGUAGAUUUGUUUAGACUCGAAAUAAAUACACAUUUUCUUUUGCUAGGUGGAAGGGGGUUAACCAAGGCACCAAAAGAUGAGGCCUAGGAAAUCCAUUUGAUGAACAACAAAUUAUCUGAGCUGCCAAAGAGUCCAAAUUGCCCCCAUCUCUGCACAUUGUUCCUACAAAACAAUAGUUGUUUGCGAGUUAUUCCUCCAUUGUUCUUUCAACAUUUGCCCAUGCUCCAAAUCCUAAACUUGUCCCAUACUAAAAUAAGAUCGUUACCACAAUCUCUUUAUGGGUUGGUACAACUGCAAGGACUUGUUUUGAGAGGCUGUAAACUCUUCAUGGAGCUGCCACCUUGAAGUUGGAAAACUCAGUAAUCUUAAGGUGCUUGAUCUUGAGGGGACUGAAAUUAUAAGGCUACCCGUGAAUGUUGGAAAAUUGACAAAUUUAACCCGCUUGAAAAUGUCAAUUUGUGGGGAUGAUAACAACAGGAAAGAUAACGAGUCAAACAUAAUGAUUCCCCAGAAUGUGAUAUCCAAUCUAUUUCAAUUAGAAGAAUUGAUGAUAGAUGCGAAUCCCAAUGAUAAGCGAUGGAGUGCUAGUGUGAAAGACAUUGUAAAGGAAGUGUGCAGCUUAGAUCGGUUGGAAGCUCUUCAACUAUACUUGCCAGAAGUUGCACUUUUGAAUGACUUACAGAAUGCAUCUUCAUCAAUAAACCUCUAAGGAAUGCACUUUAGGUUUACUGUUGGCAGCCAUUUGAAGCACAUAAUAUCUUGACUACCACUUGAAGUUGCAGUUAAAUUUGGUGUACCAGAAAGAUGCAUGCUUGAAGUUUGUGAAGGGUGAAGAUGUCCCAACUGAAAUUGGGAAGGUACUCCAGCAUGUUACUGCAUUGUUCCUCGAUUGCUAUUCAACCGCCACUAGUUUAUCCGAGUUCGGGAUUGAAUAUAUGGAAAAUCUAAAGUUUUGUGCAUUAGGGGAAUGUAAUGAGAUUCAAACUAUUGUAGAUGCAAAUAAUGGAGAUAAAGUACUUAGAUCACUAGAAUACUUGAAUCUUUAUUAUAUGAAGAAUUUAAGGAGCAUUUGGAAGGGGCCAUUUGGAUGGGGUUCUCUAUCAAGUCUAAAAGCUUUGGUGUUGUAUAUAUGCCCCCAAUUGACUACCAUUUUUACUUCAGAUUUGCUUUUAAAUCUCUGCAACUUAGAGGAGCUUGUAGUUGAAGAUUGCCCAGAAAUUGAAAGCAUAGUAGUUGCUCAUGAUCCCACUGCUACUCAACUAAGGUUGUUGACAGAGCAUUUAUUUCCAAAGUUGAAGAAGAUAUCACUUCACUACAUGCCUAAAUUGGUCAGCAUUUUCAAUGGUCUACUCAUUUUACCAAAAUUAGAAUGGAUAAGCUUCUAUGAUUGUCCAAGUCUCAAAACUCUAUCCACAGAGGAAGUUAUCAGUAAUGAUUUAAAGGUGAUAAUAGGAGAGGCAGAAUGGUGGAGAGAAUUAAAACUUCUAUGAUCAUAGUGGUUUAAGCGACCUAAUCUGGAUGCUAUCUUUGUUCCAAUUGAACGGGACACAGAUUUCAUUACACAGUUAGCAGAAAUCAAUGAUCAACUUCAAGCUAGGAUGCAAGAAACAAAGCCUUCUCAACAGUCAGGUCCUGGUUACUCCCUGAAGGCUCCUACAGUCGAGGAUGGAACAAUCUCAAAGCAGAAGCAAGUUGCUUAGCUUUACCUGUUCUGUACUGGUUAAGCUUGAGCCUUGUAUUAUGGAUAAUUUCCCGACAGUGGCUGAUUGUCUUAUUGAUUGUUACUUCAUGCUGUGCUAGCUUGCGGAGAUAAGGAAACUCAGAACCUAACAGAAACUCUGUUUGAAUAAAUGGUGAUGUGAACUUGCUGUAUGCUUAUGAAUUCAGUAUUCAAAUGAUAAUAUCA